GACAGAGGGUGCAAACGUUGUUCGGAAUUACUGGGCGUAAAGCGCGUGUAGGCUGCUCCGAAAGUCGGAUGUGAAAGCCCUGGGCUCAACCUAGGAAGUGCACUCGAAACUUCGGAGCUGGAGUCCUGGAGAGGAAGGCGGAAUUCUCGGUGUAGAGGUGAAAUUCGUAGAUAUCGAGAGGAACACCGGUGGCGAAGGCGGCCUUCUGGACAGUGACUGACGCUGAGACGCGAAAGCGUGGGGAGCAAACAGG
Molecule: ribosomal RNA, 253 nt
Filed under: uncultured bacterium
Lineage: Bacteria
Description: partial 16S ribosomal RNA
Rfam family: Bacterial small subunit ribosomal RNA
Source: RNAcentral